UGGGGGAUAUUGCACAAUGGGCGAAAGCCUGAUGCAGCGACGCCGCGUGGGGGAUGAAGGCCUUCGGGUUGUAAACUUCUUUUGCUCUGAACAAGGCAUGCCUUUGGGGUGUGUUGAGUGUAGGGGUUGAUUAGCGCCGGCUAACUACGUGCCAGCAGCCGCGGUAAUACGUAGGGCGCGAGCGUUGUCCGGAAUUAUUGGGCGUAAAGGGCUUGUAGGUGGCUGGUUGCGUCUGUCGUGAAAGCUCAUGGCUUAACUGUGGGUUUGCGGUGGGUACGGGCUGGCUUGAGUGUAGUAGGGGAGGGUGGAAUUCCUGGUGUAGCGGUGGAAUGCGCAGAUAUCAGGAGGAAUACCGGUGGCGAAGGCGGGUCUCUGGGCUGUUACUGACGCUGAGGAGCGAAAGCGUGGGGAGCGAACAGG
Molecule: ribosomal RNA, 420 nt
Filed under: Fusobacteriota bacterium
Lineage: Bacteria; Fusobacteriati; Fusobacteriota
Description: Fusobacteria bacterium partial 16S ribosomal RNA
Rfam family: Bacterial small subunit ribosomal RNA
Source: RNAcentral